GAUGAACGCUGGCGGCGUGCCUAAUACAUGCAAGUCGAGCGAACGGACGAGAAGCUUGCUUCUCUGAUGUUAGCGGCGGACGGGUGCGUAACACGUGGAUAACCUAACUAUAAGAAUGGGAUAACUUCGGGAAACCGGAGCUAAGAACGGAUAAUAUUUUGAACUGGAUUGUUCAAAAGUGAAAGAAGGUAUUUGUUACACUUAAAGAUGGACCCGCAUGGCAUUCGCUAGUUGGUAAGGUAACGGCUUAGCAAGGCUACGAGGCAAACCCGACCUGAGAGGGUGACUGCACAGACUGUAUCUGAGACACGGUACAGACUCCUACGGGGAGCAGCAGUAGAGAAUCUUCCGCGAUGCGGGAAAGCCUGACGGAGCAACGCCGCGUGAGUGAUGAAGCUCUUCUGACCCUAAAACUCUGUAAUUAUGGAGGAACAUAAGUGUAAGUAACUGUGCUCAUCUUGACGGUACCGAAACAGAAAGCCACGGCUAACUACGUG
RNAcentral lists this ribosomal RNA (497 nucleotides) under uncultured bacterium. RNAcentral describes it as "partial 16S ribosomal RNA". It matches the Rfam family "Bacterial small subunit ribosomal RNA", at positions 28 to 507 of the family's 1533-position model. The record is from RNAcentral.